This 227-nucleotide non-coding RNA is filed under the name Pontibacillus yanchengensis. RNAcentral's name for it is "T-box sequence". It matches the Rfam family "T-box leader". Rfam says of the family: Uncharged tRNA acts as the effector for transcription antitermination of genes in the T-box leader family. T-boxes are found upstream of many aminoacyl-tRNA synthetase genes and some amino acid biosynthetic genes usually in Gram-positive bacteria. Lineage: Bacteria; Bacillati; Bacillota; Bacilli; Caryophanales; Bacillaceae. The record is from RNAcentral.
AAAAACGUGAUGAUAGGAACUAGUAGCAAAACUCCCUUCUUAAGAGAGCUGGUGGUCGCUGUGAACCAGUGAAGGAUUUUGUGAAUCCAUCCUUGAGCUGAUAUGCCGAAAGAUUAGUAAGCAUAUCCGGUGUAACGCACCGUUACCAUUGAAGUGAGCCGGAAGGUACAAUGUUUGUACUUUCAAUCAGGGUGGCAUCGCGGGAAUAUACAACUCUCGUCCCUUUC